UGAGUUGGUUAUAAGCGUAUUGGGUGAGAGUUGUUUUCUGAUGUGAUUGUAUUUUAGAUGAUUUGUGCACAAAUUGUGUCGAAAGAGAAGCAUAGCAAAAGAAACCUAAAAAAUGGUGCUUUCUGAAAACAAAACCCUCUCGGAAUGAGAGAAUUUUUUUACUUUUUUGAAAACCAACUAUUUUAGGAAAUCCAUAAAAAAAAACAUAAACAAUCCUAGUAUCUCAUCUAACAGAAAACAAUCUACUGAAAAGGUAAUCCACCCUUGUUUUCUUGUUGAAUUAGCAGCCCUACAUAUGGAACUGAAACUCGCUUGCCUCCUCCAUUCUCGAAUUGUUUUGUUUUGUUUUGCUUUCCGAGGGCUCGAUUAGAGGCGUCUCCGCCUCCGCUCUGUCGCCAUUCCUAUUCCAUUUGGUAAUCUCGUCUUCCUAUAAACCUUCUCUUUCAAUACUGUUUUCAACCCACAAAUGAGAAGAAUUCGUUUUGCAUGUCUCUCGCUCUUAAAUCUCCAAACUCCUUUCUUUGCCAAAAUAGCCCAAUUCCCACGACUUUAUUUAGGGUUGCUCGCCUGCCCAUCAAUCCCCUUUUUGUGGUUGCCGCAUUUUGCUCGAAUACAAAAGCAUCUGAUUCCGGUUUUGUCACGACCCGGUACUCUCCUCGAGUCCGUGACAACCGCCGCGGUACCCCGAUAGACACUCAUUUCCCGGAAUGCCAACCGGGACCCGGCAAGGCUUAAUAUCAGUAUCUCAUUUCCCCUGUGAGUAACCGUUGCCGAAAAUCAUGUUCUAGAAGAUUUUAAGCUGUUUCCAACUCAAAACAAAUAAAAUAAUAAUUUUCGUCUCAUAGGGGUAUUUUAGUCAUUUUUCUUCAAAAAUUUCGAAAUCGGCUAAAAUGUAAUAUACGAGUACAAAACAUAUAAUUCAUAAUCAAAAGUGAGUUUUAAAGUCUAAAAUCUUCAUUUAAAAUGAAAUUUCGAUUAUUUGGAUAUAAUAAGAAAAUAAAAGAAAUGUUAAGUAAAAUAUUCUAUUUUCUUAUAAAAUAAUAUUUUUAGAGUUAUACGUAAAUAAUUUUUGUAGCGUAAAAGUUAAAUAAAUUCAUACAUACUGUAAUACAGUAAGCCAAAGUAUUUAAUUUAAUUUACAAUAAUAAGUGGGCCCCUGAAUAAAUAAAAGUAAAGAGGACUAUAAACCUACAGUUUGAAGAAUGCAAACCCAACGGUAAUCCUCGAUGAGAUCAGCUAUCUACAGUCUAAUCUGAGCCUAAAAUGGAGGGAAAGGAGGGUGGUGAGAUUAUAAAAUCCCAAUGAGUAAACAGACAUCAUCAUAAACAUCUAGAGUUGAGUACAUGAAGACAAUAAAGUAAAUCAUCGUAAAGUGGGUCACAGUAUUAGAAUACAUUUCAUUCAAAAUACGUGAAGAGGCUUAUGAAUCUCAUAAAAACUAAGCUUGUGUCAUAAAUCCAUUCUCAGGGAUACCUUGGCCGAGGCAUCCUACCGAGACUGCCAAGGCUGUUAAAAAUUCACAUUUUGCAUAAAUCAUAUUUUUGUUUUGAAACAUAGCCGUUCUUUGGCGUUGGCUGAGUUCCCCCCUCACGUGGUGAUUUGGAGUGAAGUGAACCCUAAGCUUUACCCUAGGAGAUACCCUACGCGCCUCUCCGUUUGAGGUAAGAAUAUAAUGGGGUUUACUGUGCCCCUCUAAAAAGCUGAUCCACAGAAACUCCUUACUGUAGUGAUUAAUUAAUAUAUAAUCCACCAUAUAAUAAAAUUUUGACAGCAUGACAGGGCUAAUGAAAUACUAUCUAGCCUGCACGGGUAAAAUAAAACAAUUCAUACAAUUCAUAAAACACAGCCUAGCUAGUCAUGCCAACACAAUAACAAUAUAACAUAAGCCAUCAAUUUAAACAAUCAAAUUGCCACAAUUAACAGUCUCCGUGUACUCUAUUUUUUAAAAUCAUUAUUAAUUUCAAAACAAUUUAUAAACUAAUUUCAUUGGAACACCUUUAUUCAUAAAACAUAAAAAUUUACCUUUUUAAAUCUAUUUUUCCAUAGAAUUCAUGAAAUCAUCUAAAAACCACCCUAGAUAAUUAAAAUGACAGUAAGUUUACUCACAAUGUCUAGAAUGCAGACUUUCGAAGUACUUUGUCUAUUGGUCCUCGGAUGCAAUUUCCUUGCCUUUAUCGAAUGACUCACCACCUUGACACAGUACAAAAUCGAGAAAUUCACCACAUUGAUACUAAAUCGAAAUUAAACUAAUUUAGACUACUAAUGCAUGAUAUGGAAUGCAAAAAUAUCCGAAUAGUCGUUUAAAUACGGUAUUCGACCUAAUUCGCACUAUUCUCGAUGUAAUUGGCUAAAACCUCCAAUUUAACUCCAAAUCGAUUUCUUUCACUUUCUACACUCCAAUUAUACUUAAAAUACCUCAAUGACUGUGAAUAUAAUUCAAUUUAUCAAUCCAAACCAUAAAUCACACAUGUCUAUACAUUAGGUAAAAAUUCAGAUUUUCAUGCCAAAAUUUCCCAUUAAAUUUCUAGCCUCACCAAUCAUUAAAUACCACCAAAAUAUCAUGAAAUAUCAUCAAUUUCAGCCUCAAUAUCCUCCCUAGAAAAUUCGGCCUCUUGUGGGUUUGUGAAGAACAAAGUGAUUUCUUGCUAGAUUUUCAUACUUUCCAUUACUAAACAACCAAAAACACUUAAUUAACUUGAAAUCUAGCAAAAUCAAUGCUCAAAACCUCUCCUCUCAAAUUUGGCCAGCAUGGGUUCAUCAUGAAAACUUGAGUUCUAAGCAUGAAAAAUGAAAAAGAAAGCAUGGGUAGUGUAAAUCACAAGAUAAAAUCACAAAAUUUUACCUUUAUUAGCUUAAUUUCUUGAAAUCCCACACUUUUUCUUCAAUUUUCCCACCUAGGUUUUGUUCUUUCUUUGUUCUUCUUCACUUCAUGCUUUGGCCAG
Molecule: long non-coding RNA, 2942 nt
Filed under: Theobroma cacao (cacao)
Lineage: Eukaryota; Viridiplantae; Streptophyta; Magnoliopsida; Malvales; Malvaceae
Description: long non-coding RNA (TCAC_LNC005817)
Source: RNAcentral